AACAUAUCAAUAAGCGGAGGAAAAGAAGACUAACAAGGAUUCCCCUAGUAACGGCGAGUGAAGAGGGAAGAGCCCAAGAUUGAAAGCUGGCGUCUUCGGCGUCCGCAUUGUAAUCUCAAGAAGUGUUUUCCGCUUCGGACCAUGCCUAAGUCCCUUGGAAAAGGGCAUCAUAGAGGGUGAUAAUCCCGUACAUGGCAUGGAGCGCCCGUAGCUUUGUGAUACGCUUUCUAAGAGUCGAGUUGUUUGGGAAUGCAGCUCAAAAUGGGUGGUAAAUGCCAUCUAAGGCUAAAUAUUGGGGAGAGACCGAUAGCGAACAAGUACAGUGAUGGAAAGAUGAAAAGAACUUUGAAAAGAGAGUUAAACAGUACGUGAAAUUGCCAAAAGGGAAGGGUAGGAGGUCAGAGAUGCGUCUUGGGAUUCAGCCUUGCUUUUGCCUGGUGUUUUUCCCAAGCUGCAGGCCAACGUCGGUUUUGGGCACUGGAGAAGGGUAGGAGGAACGUGGCACCUCUCGGGGUGUGUUAUAGCCUCCUACUGGAUACAGCGACCGAGACCGAGGAACGCAGCGUACUCGUAAGAGCGGGCCUUUUGGCACCUUUACGCUUAGGGCGUUGGCAUAAUGGCCCUCUACCACCCGUCUUGAAA
RNAcentral lists this ribosomal RNA (642 nucleotides) under Pseudozyma prolifica. RNAcentral's name for it is "eukaryotic LSU rRNA". It matches the Rfam family "Eukaryotic large subunit ribosomal RNA", at positions 37 to 659 of the family's 3401-position model. Lineage: Eukaryota; Fungi; Basidiomycota; Ustilaginomycetes; Ustilaginales; Ustilaginaceae. The record is from RNAcentral.